GACGAACGCUGGCGGCGUGCUUAACACAUGCAAGUCGAACGGAAAGGCCCUGCUUUUGUGGGGUGCUCGAGUGGCGAACGGGUGAGUAACACGUGAGUAACCUGCCCUUGACUUUGGGAUAACUUCAGGAAACUGGGGCUAAUACCGGAUAGGAGCUCCUGCUGCAUGGUGGGGGUUGGAAAGUUUCGGCGGUUGGGGAUGGACUCGCGGCUUAUUAGCUUGUUGGUGGGGUAGUGGCUUACCAAGGCCUUGACGGGUAGCCGGCCUGAGAGGGUGACCGGCCACAGUGGGACUGAGAUAGGGCCCAGACUCAUACGGGAGGCAGCAGUGGGGAAUAUUGCGCGAUGGGCGGAGGCCUGAUGCAGGAACGCCGGGUGCGGGAUGACGGCCUUCGGGUUGUAAACCGCUUUCGCCUGUGACGAAGCGUGAGUGACGGUAAUGUGUAAAGAAGCACCGGCUAACUACGUG
This 468-nucleotide ribosomal RNA is filed under the name uncultured bacterium. RNAcentral describes it as "partial 16S ribosomal RNA". It matches the Rfam family "Bacterial small subunit ribosomal RNA", at positions 28 to 507 of the family's 1533-position model. The record is from RNAcentral.